Molecule: ribosomal RNA, 411 nt
Filed under: uncultured prokaryote
Description: bacterial SSU rRNA
Rfam family: Bacterial small subunit ribosomal RNA
Source: RNAcentral
AUGUCAGCAGCCGCGGUAAUACGUAGGGGGCAAGCGUUAUCCGGAAUCACUGGGUGUAAAGGGUGCGUAGGCGGCAAGGCAAGUCAGAUGUGAAAGCCCGGAGCUCAACUCCGGGACUGCAUUUGAAACUGCUUUGCUAGAGUGCAGGAGAGGAAAGCGGUAUUCCUAGUGUAGCGGUGAAAUGCGUAGAUAUUAGAAGGAACACCAGUGGCGAAGGCGGCUUUCUGGACUGUAACUGACGCUGAGGCACGAAAGCGUGGGGAGCGAACAGGAUUAGAUACCCUGGUAGUCCACGCUGUAAACGAUGAGUGCUAGGUGUCGGGGGUCGAACCUCGGUGCCGAAGUCAACACAUUAAGCACUCCACCUGGGGAGUACGAUCGCAAGAUUGAAACUUAAAUGAAUUGACGGGG